UAACUCUUGCUGUCGAUUAAUGAUUGUCAAGUUCUUAUCGGAUGUAACAGAUGAUAAUAGACAUCAUAACGUGCAUAUGCAUAUGUCAUAAUUCGGUUGUGAUGGGACUAAGUUUUUUUUUUAAAGUGCCAUAUGUGUAGCGCUAACAGGAUAGGGAGAGGGGGUGGGGAAGCCCCUACUACCUCCAUGAAAAAUCAUGAAUGUUAUCUGGAAAAAGAUGUAAAUUGUAACUAAAAUUUCAGUAGCAUCUACUGAAGAAUGUUUUAUCUGAGAUAGUUGCUACGGUACUUUUCACUAAAUGACUUAAUGGACUUACGUUGCUGUAAAAAAAGCAAAAGAAAGAAAAAACACCUUCAGUACUUGAGCCAUAUUGGCAUCAAAUUUUUCCAUCCUUUUUCAAUCAUUCUCUAUAUGUGACGGGAAAACAGCAUCUUGAUUAAACAAGCAAGUUUCAACUCUAGAAGAUUAGAAGGCAAUGUACAUGUACUGAAAUUAUUUUCAACUUCUCACACAUGAUCCAUCUUCAGCCAAGAGGGAUUAGACAGUUGCUCAUUCAAGGAAAGACCUAAGCUCAGCCUGAGGGAACUCCACUGACUCUGGCCCUCGAAGACCAAACAUUCCCAGCAUGCUGUGAAUCCUCUUCAGGAGCAGACAUUCCAGGUUCUGAAGCAUCCCCAUGUUGUAUGUCCAGAACAUCUGGUGAAGAGCCUGACAUAAGGAGACCAUGGACUGUGCGUAGCUUCUUCACCCAGCUAGCAGGUAACUUCUUCAAGAAAGCGACCAUUGGACAGAAUGUCCAAACCUACCUCUGCAAAGCAGCCCAGGAUUUCACAGAAAGCUGUAGUCUUGCAUGAUAAUUGUUUUUAAAUCAUAUACAGUAUAUCUUCUUGCUAUUUUUCAUUCAUUAAGAAAAUAUUUAUAAGAUGAGGGUGAUAUUGUCCAGUACAUUAUAAGCAUCUUUUUUUAUACAUCUGUUCUUCAACAUCAGAUAUUGCAGUUGAGCCUGCAUGCUCUAUAACUGUGCCAGAUUCUCCUACAAAAGCUGAAUUAAAGAUGGAAAUCACAAAUCUUAAAGAAAAACUGAGCAGCCUGAUGGAAGAGUGAGACAGUUAAGAUAUCAGAGUGUGCCUAUUGUAAAAAUAUUGACCAGUUACUUCCUGGGGAAAAAAAAGUUAAAUCUCAGUUGAUUCGACUUCUGUGGGAAGAGCUAAAAAGCAUUGAUCUCUGUUGUCCACUUGGUGCGUGUGAUCUGAAA
Molecule: long non-coding RNA, 1255 nt
Filed under: Pomacea canaliculata
Lineage: Eukaryota; Metazoa; Mollusca; Gastropoda; Architaenioglossa; Ampullariidae
Description: uncharacterized LOC112555907, transcript variant X3
Source: RNAcentral